CCUACGGGAGGCUGCAGUGGGGGAUAUUGCACAAUGGGGGAAACCCUGAUGCAGCGACGCCGCGUGUAGGAAGACGGUCCUCUGGAUUGUAAACUACUGUCCCCAGGGACGAAGAUGACGGUACCUGGGGGGGAAGCUCCGGCUAACUACGUGCCAGCAGCCGCGGCAAUACGUAGGGAGCGAGCGUUGUCCGGAUUUACUGGGUGUAAGGGGAGCGUAGGCGGGGAUGCAAGUGGGGUGUUAAAUCUACCGGCUCAACUGGGAGUCGCACUCAAAACUGCAGCUCUUGAGUGAAGUAGAGGCAGGCGGAAUUCCUAGUGUAGCGGUGAAAUGCGUAGAUAUUAGGAGGAACACCAGUGGCGAAGGCGGCCUGCUGGGCUUUUACUGACGCUGAGGCUCGAAAGUGUGGGGAGCAAACAGGAUUAGAUACCCUUGUAGUC
Molecule: ribosomal RNA, 440 nt
Filed under: uncultured bacterium
Lineage: Bacteria
Description: partial 16S ribosomal RNA
Rfam family: Bacterial small subunit ribosomal RNA
Source: RNAcentral